UAUUCAUUUCCAUAAGUAGCAAUGUCAUGACCAUAUUAUUUACAAUGAGUGCACAUUUCAUCAUCAACCUCGUCAUCAUCAGUUGUUGUUGCACAAUCUUGUAUACUAUUUUGAGUUGCGUGUGGAGUUUGAGAUCUCUUUUGCAAAAAAAAAAACAUUUGUGCCCCACCGCCCCUUCCGCCACCGGCAACCACUACCAAACCGACCCACUCAACUGGGGCGCCGCCGCUGAUGCCAUGAAAGGGAGCCACCUUGACGAGGUGAAACGGAUGGUGGCAGAGUACCGGAAGCCUUCGGUCAAACUGGUCGGGGAGUCGCUCACCAUCGCUCAGGUCGCCGCGAUCGCCGCCGGAAAUGCCCCUGAUGUCACGGUGGAGCUCUCCGAGUCUGCCAGGGACCGCGUCAAAGCCAGCAGCGACUGGGUCAUGGAGAGCAUGAACAAAGGUACCGAAUUUAGAUAAAGUGUAAGGAUUGAUAUUUUAUAAAGAUUAAUUAAAAUAACUUAAUAUAAAUUUACAAAAGACAACGGAUACGAUCGGAAUUGAAUCACAAAAUGUAAUUUACAAAAUAUGGUACUUUGAAAGUAUAUUGAUUAUGUUAGAAUGAUCAUAAGAGAAUUUUUCAAGCGCAAAUCUUAAAAUAACAAGAUAAAAGAUAUCAUGUCUUCAUGAUUAUAUAAAUUAAAUGGAGUGAUCUUUGAGGAAUUUUGUUUUUUAUUUAUUUUAAUUUCUAAAAUAAAAUGGUUAUUCACCGUCUAGAUCUUAUCCUAAAAAUGAAGGGUUGAGAUGAAUCCAUGCAGGCGGGAGUAUGUAAUACUCCGGGAGUACGAUAGUCGUUUCCCGUACAGCAAUGACAUAUUGACAUGUUUAUAAUAUUUAUAAAACAUAUGGUUAGUUUUGCUUUGUUUAUAUUCAGAGAGUCAGCCAUUUGACUUUUGAUUAUUUUAUGUGCUGACUUAACGUUGUGCCGUCAGGACGUGUUAUCUACUUCGACAAGCAACCUCUCAAAUUGAAUAACACACAGUUUGGUGGAGAAAGACUGACAGCUUAGUUUCAAUUUAAGUCGAUGGUAGUAUAUGUUAACAUGCUGAUUGAUAGGAGGUCGAUAUUGAGCCCGGAGAGGAACAACGAUGAACUUCUCGAAAAGCGUUGUGUACGAGAAUGCAAGAGGAGGAGAGGUUGGCUUCACUUGAGUUAAAAGUGUGAUCAAACCUAAGUUUCGUUUGGCACUUGAAAAGUUAGAUGAGAUUUUAAACAUUUUUUUUGUUAGACGAAAAAAUUAAAUUCCGACGAAAUAAUUUUAGAAAGCCGAUCUUUUCCUCUACUAUUUAAAUUCAAUGAAACUUUUUCACCGUCAAACCAGACUAUAUCGUAGAUAGUGAGCUUAUACUACAACCUAAAGUACACCGAUUUAAGGAACAAUCCGGUCUGAUUGUAAGAAUACUUUCCUCUGUUUCGAGAUAAUUAUGUAGUAUAUAUAUGUUGCAAAAACAAAUCAAUUACACGAAAGGGAAAGAUCCUUCCUUUGAACAAGAACAACUCAGAAUCAAAACUGGUUCGUGGAAAGAAUGGAUUGUAAAGCAAAAACUAUGUAUAAGAAUUAAGAAACCCAAAAAGGAAAGUUCCAUUCUUUCCGAGAACCAAUUCCAUUCUUAAUUUCCAAAUUAAAAAAAAAACAGAGCAUCAUGAUUCCUCUGCUAGUUUCAAUUGUGAAGUGGGUUUGGUCCGCCGGGGACACAUCUAUCCUCAAUCCCAUGCAUUGGCUUCUCAAAAUGAUGAUUGUUCCUGCUACUCUCGCCGGGACCGGACUUCAUCUUCAUAGCCGCCGACAGCCUUGCCGGAAUCGGAAAUGGAAACUUCGUCUUGGAGCCGAGAGGUCGACAAGUGGAGUGAUGGAACAGAGCUAGAAAGACGGUUAGAAGGAGAAGCAGAGUGUAAAGUGAAGGUCUCAUCAUUACAGAGGAAAUGAAAAUGACUCUUUCAGGAGAUGGGUUUUGAAAUUUGAAGAGAACAAAUGAAGGCUUAUUUAUAUUUUGGACAAGGAUCUGAUUUAUUUGUUUAUUGUGUUCCACUUUUUGUUUGGUUGUGUUGUUUGGUUUUGUUUUGUUUAAUGUGGUUGUCUAUCUUACUUAGUUUGGGCGGCCAAAUAUUUGUCAUGAUACCAAAGGGAAGAAAUAUAACUGCUUCAGUCCAAAGAGAUUGUUGCCAAUUUAACAGCUUGAGUCUCUAUCCAUCUAUGGAAAUGCCAAAGCCAAACAAAUUCAAGCCGUCCACCAACUAAUGAUAGGAUCUAACACACCGGGUCGGAGGAGAUUCGAACCUGCCAAGUCGAGCUGCUGGGUAUUGUGCACCUCUGAUUGGCUACUCCACCCGAAAUUUGCGCAUAGAGCUCAGGAAGCGAGACUAAAACUGACUGAAAGAUCAUAUGGCACAAGGCUUCAAAAAAUUUCAUUGCACAUGUAGCAUAGGGAGUCGUCACGAUUUAUCACGAUAUGAUGGAGUAUGAUACAAUAAUACGAUAACAUCCUUCAUAUGAUUGGAUCUCAUGCUGGUAUCGACCUCUGGGAUUCGUUGGACAGCCCAAACUGCAGCAACGAGCAAAUUAUCGAAGAGAGGAGGUUCUUAUUACAAGAAAGAGUUGACAGAAAGGUGUCUAAACCAGAAAAGAGAAGUUCUGAAAAAACAAAAACUUAUGUAAACAUCCCCAGCGUUCCAUCUGAUAUAUAGAUAGAUACAUCUCUUACAUGACUCUUUUCACUCCUCUUUUGAUUCACCACCAGAUGAAGGAGCCACCGGAUGCUCAACACCUGUCGGGGAUGGACCGUCUUCAGCUGCUGCCUUGUUGUCAUCAGCUUCAGUACUUGCAGGCUUCACAUCGCCAUUCUCGGUAGCAUCAGCAGUGACUUCGGCAGCGGGCUGCUCGCUGGACGAACCAUCAUCGACGACUGGUACUUCCUUCUUGAUGGUACCGACCUUGACAUACUUACUCAUGAACUUGUAUUCCCAGUCCUGCAGAGCUUCCAUCUCGAACGAACCAAGUCCUGAGAUGUCUCCCGUCAGAUCCUUCUCUUCGAACGACAUCUUCGCCAGUGCUCUGCUGGCAUCCUUCCCGGCAAAUAACGCGUAUGGCCCACCGGGACCGUAAAACAUCCUGCAGCCAUAACAACCAUAUGGCGUGAAAUCACCUCCAACGAGUUUGGUUCAUUAUUCGGCCAAACCAAGUAAUCACAAACAUGCAAAUCAGUUGAAAUAGAGAUUAAUAAAUGGAAAUUAAAAGUUGUUCUUCCUCAUCUGCACUCAUGACAGAACUAACAGACCCUACACUCAGACACUAACAAAGAUCAAGAUGUAUAAUUGCCUCAAUCUACACAGAAUGGCUGCUAUCAAACACCUACAAGAUGAAACUUAGACACUAAUGAUGUCAACAACAAAAAGACUAAUGAUCUUGUCUCCAAAGUCGAGCCUUCUUAGCAACAAUGGAUAGCGUGGUCAAUCCAAGUUAACUUCUUUGGACUAUUUAUAGCUGCCUCAAGUUCUAAACAGCAAGAAGGCCACUUCACCAUCUGGGCUGCGUGGAGUAUAUCACAAGGAAUGUUACUACAUAAACCAAUUAAGAACCUUUCCCAGCAACACGAAUUAUUAGGACGAGAUGGUUCUUAUCAUAGCCAUUGACCUUGGAGGUGCUUGGUCGACCUUUGCAAACUAUAGACACUACUAAUGGCACCAACAAAGAAUCAAUGAUCUUGUCUCCAAAGUACAGACUUCUUAGCAACAAUCCAAGUUAACUUCUUUAGACUACAAGUCUACAACUCACAGGCUAUUUAUAGGUUCCUAAAGUUCCAAAUAGCAAGAAGGCCACCUGCUCUCCAUCUUGCUCAUUGGAGUAUGUCACAAGGAAUGUUUACAUAAACCAAUUAAGAAUCUUUCCCCACAACUCGAAUGGAAACUCGAAUUAUUAGGAGGUGAUGGUUCUUACUUCUUAUCAUAGCCAUUUACCUUAGAGAUCGACCUUUGAAAACUUCAAAAUCCAGCCCCAAAAAGCUCUCCACCAAUAACUCGAAUAUUGGGAGGAGAAGGUUCUUAACCGAAAAGGCAGAAACUUUUUCAACUCAGCCCCAAAACCCAACCGAAAACCUCGAGCAGAACUCGAAGUCUCGAACAACAAUCAACGAAUUUCAAGUGCAAAAUCCCUAGAAAAAAGAGGGAAAAAAUUUAAUUAUUUAUACCUGCUCUGCGAGACAUCGUAGAUCUGACCCUUGAUAGCCAUAAGCAGAGGCUUCUUAGGAUCGGUCCCAUCGUACUGCUUCAGCUCAUCCUCACCGAUCUCCCCAAGCUGCACAGGCGGCGGCAGCGGCUGCACGUCUUCCUCGAAGCUCCUGGGCCUAGGCGGAGGAUUAGUUGACCCAAACAUCCCAGAAAGCAGGUAGUAAACGGCCAACCCAAAAGCCAGCACCGUGAAGAAAGUCGCCGGCGUUAGCCCCGUGUACGCCGUUAUAGCUUGCUGCAGCGUCUCCCAUAGCUGAAGCGCCAUGUUUUCAGCUCAAAGGGUGAGACUUGAGAGAUCUUUUAAAACAGAGAGAAGGGAACUACUGAUGACAGUCCACUAAUCUCAGCGGCUGUGUAAAAAAGAAUUGAACUUUCUUGUGUGAAUUCUGAUGCAAAGUUCAUUGCUUUAAUGGCGGUCCUUUUCGCGUUCUGGUCUGGGUGAAGGUGAAAUGACUGGUUUACCCAUUGAAUUAUUGGGAUUUGUUGCAGACGUAUAUGUAUGGGGCUUUUUAUUUGUUUUCGAUGAAUAUAUGGGUUUUGUAGCCUGGUAUUUUGGAGGUUUGUGAGAGAGGGGUACAAGUGUAAAUUGAGUUCUAUGAUGACAUAUACGGUAUGGCCUCCUAAUUGGUCGGAUGAGUCUUCUCAAGAAAAAAUUUAGCGAUCAAAAUUUCGUGUGGAGUUUAGUUUAAUUGGACUGUCGAAACGAUACAAAAGAAUCGUGCAAAAUGUUAUUGUGGUAGUAAAAUUGUAUAAGGUAAAAUCGUAAAAUUAUUUGAAGAAUGUGUAUUUUGUGUUGCGUACUUAUGAUUUUCUAAAUUUUGUAUCGUAAACUAUGUAGUUUUAUUUAUUUAAUUUAAACUAUGGGUGGUACUUAAAAUUUUAAGAUUUUACGAUUCGAUCAUACGAUUCAAUUUUACCUAUGUUUUCGAUUUUACUCAGAAUCCACGAUUUCACUACCUUGGUUAAAUGGGUUGUUCAAAGGGCACUCGAGGGGUGGAAGUUUCGGAAUGAGAUCCGAGAUUUACCGUAUUUAUGAUAAUACAUUGUAAUUAUGAGUUAAUCAAAGCCAUAUAGUAUGAAGUGCUAAGUAUGUGUCGGUAUUCUCUACCAUGGAGGUGGAAUAAUUAUAUUUAAGAUGAAAAAAAUGUAUUCACUCACGAAAUAACUUUUUAAACAGACAAAGAGUUAACAACGCUCAUGUUUAGUUAAGACACCUCCAUCAAUCCAGUCAAUACUAAUGGAUGAAGAUCCAAAUGAACACCUGAGCAACGCUAAUAUCGAUAUCACAAUGUGUAGAUAAGAAGUCAGAUCGGAUAUAUAAAAUGAGGGUGAUUCACUACAGAAUAAUUACAUUAAUGUUCUGUCAUGAUGUCAAAGCUGAUGAGACCAAAAGAAUCUGUUAUUGUUGAAAGCAUCAAGUCCACUUGAGCCAAUGCUACAAGGUUUCAAACUUUCAAUGUUCCUUCAGCCCUUUUCAACUGUUUAAAGCUUAGGGUUCUUGACUUUCAAAGCAACACCUUUUUCCAUACAUGUAUAAUCAGAUAGGCCAUCAUUCUGUUAAUAAAACUGUACCUAAGAUGACAAUUGAAGCCAUUUGGGCAGUGACCUUAUUGCUUUCAGAAUUUCCAUUAAUUUUAAGGUAAAAGAUAAGAAGGGUAUCUGAAAUACCUCUACCUCUGUAUGUCUACUGUUCAUCUCAACCAAUUUGAUCAAAGAUGAAUCUGAUGGCAAACAUAUGAACAGUAGAAAGAGUAGCAAGUAAAACCAUAUAUAAAAGAUGCAAAACGUGACCACAGUACUAGCUAGCAUUCAUAUCUGAGUUACAUGCUGACUUUCGUCGAGAUUUCGAGGCCGAAAUCUUUCAUAUACUGAUACACCUGUGAGAAAAAUAGUGUAGUUCCAGACUGAAGAAAAACUGGAAAAGUUACCUAAUACACAGUACACAAACAUGGUGAACAAAAUACUCAGAUACUGUUCUUUCACCACAACUAACAAAGGUAAACUGAGAAGGAAAAGCUCUCUCUAUACUAUAUCCAGUCCAGACAAUCUGUUUAUUGUUUUUCUAGCACAAGGGGCUAAAAAAAAUCAGAACAACCAAACAACAAAAUGGUACAAGUUCUACAAACUCAUCACUAGGUAUAUACUAAAAAAAAUAUUACAAACACUUCAACGUUGCUCUCUACUUACAGAGCAAGAGAGUUCACCUCAUCCUCUUUCCACAGUCCUUCCUCGUACCUAUACCACCGCAUGAGCCCUUCGUCGGCCUUAGUCCUCUGGCACAUAAUGCACGACUCCUCAUCCAUGCACGUUAAGAACUGACUCAGUCGCUUCGCCUUCUGCAAAAUCGUGGCGUCUAACUCCUUCAUGACUCGUCUAGGCGCGGGAGGUAGUGGGAUUUCGAUCAGAAGGCAGUGCGAUAUGUUGAGGACUUCAAGAUUAUGCAGGCCGUCCAGUAGGAUGAUCAGGGCGUCCCUUGGUAGCAUCGCGCACCGGAGGCUCAACACUUUCAAUCUCGUGAGACGCGUUACCAGUGUUGAAGCGAAGAAAAUGUCGAAAGGUCCCAUGACCUUGAGCUCAUGGAAGUUUCCGCAGUUAUUGGCGAUUUCGUCCAUGAGAUAUGGAGGAUUCGCUAUGCUCGGCAUUGUUAGGGAUUCAAGUUCUUUCCAUGAGCGAAUCGCUGCGCAUAUGCCGGUCUUUUUUAUUCGGUUCCAUGCUGGCAGGACCAGCCUUUUGAGAUGUGGACUCCUAAAACAGUCAAAACAGACAUAUGAGAAAUAGAGAAAACUCCCUUUGCAUUCUUAGUCGCAAGGAUGCACCCAGAACGAAAAGCAACACUCUCAGAACUGACAAUGCAACUAGAAGGCUAAGUGACCGAUCUACCAUCAAGGUUCCAUAAGCUAUCCAUACCAUUUCACAUAUGUUGGCUAUCGGAUGUUCACCAAAUACCACCAAACUUUAGUUUGCAGUCACACUAACCAUCGAAAUUCACCAAAUACCAUCAAAUUCUAGUUUGAUUCCAUAGUUACCAUUCCAUUAUUUAUUGGAGCAGAAUGCUGACAUGGCCCGACACAGUCAGCAUAUAGCGGAUGGGUCAACUGCCAACUCAUCAUUUCAAAAUCCCAACUUGGCAAGCUACUUCGAUUCUUUUGGUAUCCCUAUGCUUGAACCGUAGAGGGGUGAUAAUUUAUUGAAUAUAUUUUGAUAGCCUUGUUCAAAUUAGAAAAGUCUAGAAAUAUUAAAACGGUGAGUUUUUAUAAAAUGAUGAGUUGCCAGCUGACCUGUCCUCUAAAUGCGAAUUGUGUUGGGCUAUGUAAAUUCAUGACACACAACUUGCAAAUACCUAAAACAGAUCCCAUAAAUAGACAAUCAUCAAGUUCUUGUUCCUAACUUAAGCCACAUAACUUCAUAUGCUCAGCAUUGACUCAACAAGAUCAUUCAUUCAUUUCAGGAACCGAUAAUAACGAAAAAAACUGCCAAUAGAACGUAUAAAUGCACGAAACAAACUUAUCAGGGCAUACUACGUACGUACCUUUCAGCUGUGUAAGUCAGCUGUUCAUCGCUCACAUACAAGUUGAAAUGGAAUAUCAAUGAAGUGAUGCUUCCUUGACUGAGAUUCAGCGAUAUCCUCAGCAAUCGUGUCAAGGUCUUAUCUGAUCGACCAUUGACAUACACGUAAGGCUCUAGAGGGAUCUUAAUGAAAUUGGAUUUCAUAAUCGACAAGUCGAGUGUUUUCCACAGCAGAGGAUCGGAGCAGGCCAUACGCCACGAACUACAAACGUGAGCUAACCCUGAAGUCAAUUCGAAGAUGUCGAAUGACUGGAAUAUCUUCACCAAGAUAUCUGUGUCCAGAUCCUCCCAUCUCCUCACUGAUGAUCCACCCUCAUCCAUUCUUCCAAGCCACACACAAAAUUCCUCCCUCUGACUUUCAAUUGGAAUCAAUAGUUACGCAUCAUCAAAUGUUCGACUCCCUCUAGUUUUCUGCAAGGAAAUGAAAUGAUAAGGGGAAAACUGAACCUAAAGCUUCAAAUCAUGGAUUGAUUCUGAAGAAUUGAAAUUGAUUCCGACAAGAACAAGACCCUCGAGCUAUUAUUUCUCACAACCAAGAAGAUCCCCAAACAUUCAACACAGCAAUUAACAAUAACAAAAGGUUGAAACUUUAUCAAUGCAAAACAUAUCAAAACCAGCUCAAUUGACGGAACCCACAUGGGGAGUAACUCCUCAUCCUUCAAAUUCAACUUCUAGAUAUAAAAAAAACAACAAUAACAACCCAUGAAGGGAAAGAUUACCAUCAAAAUUUCCAGAUCUGAAUUUGAAUCAAGAAAGGGGAAAGCUCAAACCUUUAUUCAGAGCGGACUACGAUGGAGGAUCACGUGAGAGGGAUGAAUUCAACGACAGAAAUUGGGAUGAAAUCGAGAAAAAGAAAUCAGCUUGGAUCGAGAAAGGUGAAGAAAGGAGGAAGAGAAGUGGGGGAAAGGAGGGGUGUUUCAUGCAAGUUGCAGUAACGGCUGAGGAAUUGGUUUCAUUGGUGGGAGGAAAAUGGGAUAUGGUUAUGACAUGAGAGUGAGUGUUGGGAGGUAAUAUCUGGGGAAUUUUAAGAGAUCAUUGGAUUUUGUUUUUAAUGAUAAUAAUAAAUGAAAAAUUGUGGAAAUUGAUGCCGGCAGGAGAGAAGUUUUAACAGAAACUGCAACUGUUGGGGUUGUAGAUCUCUCUGCUGUCUGGUUCAGUAGGGGAAAUACGUGCGAGUGUCCUGUCAAAUGACAACGACUAAGGAUAGAUGGCCGAAUCGGACCAUGCACAACAUAACCAAACCAAUGGGUUGGUUUGGAUUAUUUGAGUUGCUGAAAUGUUGAUGCUUGAGUAGCCGAGUAGGCACAAUAUAUGGUUGAAUUCAUUAUCCAUUUUAUGACAUGAUAGAUACAUGUCACAACCAGCUCUUAGCGAUAAGACAGGUGGAGUGGAGUAAAUUUCUACACCGUUGAUUCGAAUCCCAUAGCUACACCAUGGUGGUGGUAGUGGUGGUGGUGGAAAGAACUUGAUGAUGAUGAUUAUGAUGAAGAUAUAUGUGAUGGUUUUAUUUGAACGAGUUAGGAUGUAAGAUUUCGGAUUUAAUGUUGUAGAUAAUUAGUCAUAGUAAUGGUAAAUUCUUUAUGGUAUAUCGAAAUUUUCGAUAUGUCCGUUUUUUUGUUAACGUAAAUCCAUCACCAUCGUUCAUUUUCAGUUUGCGAUCUCGACGGUUCACAAUUAUUUAAAUAUUAAAUUUUUAUUUCACAUUUUAUUUUUGAUCACAUGUGUUUUCUAAAUUUGACAAAAGAUCUUACUUUCUCAAUUUAACAAAGGAGUUUUAGCAAGCUAAGGCAGCAGCUCAGAGAGCAAGAGAAGGAGACGAAGGAAACACAACUCCGAAAAAAUACAGCAAGAUAACAAAAUCACAGUGCUUCAAAACAAGACUUGGGACAUUCUGUAACUGAAAAAUCAAACAAAACACUAUGUAUGGCACUCUAAAGUGACAGCAAAAAACAGCAGCAACAUUUCCAAUUAAACCUCUUGAAAUUUUUUAUUUGAAAUCACAUGAAAUUUGGGAUCAAUUACAAUCCAAUUUCAGAUCGCAAACUGAAAUCAAAAAUAAAAAGCAAAAUAGAAAUUUAAUAUUUAAAUAAUUGUAUUACGUAUUAUAACUACUCGACAAUCGAUAAAUCACCAAUUUUAACAUUUACUGAAACACAUUUAAUUUCAGAAUUUUGAUGGGAUCGAGUGGAUUAUAUUUAGCACUAAUACACCGUUGACUGUGAAUAAAAAAUGAAAUCACUAACGCCGUUACGAUGGAUGUUACGUGGAUAGCCAAGUAAACAACUAGGGCUGCCAUAUGAGCUUUAAUGAAGAACUUGGGUUAUAUCACUAAUAUUGCGAAAUUAGGGUUCUUCAAUUUGGGGGUGAUUGUUAGUAAAAAAAUCACUCUCUUCGAUUAGAGGAUAUAUUAGGCUGGAUCAGGUAUAGGAUUUGGGUUGUGUGGGGUGGUUUAUGUGAGUUGGGUUUAGUGGUUCUCAUAAAAAAAUUUCAAAAUGAUUUUUCGUUUAAGCUGACAUGGCUCCCAAAUUUUGACCGCCAAUCAUGUCACUUAUCUGUCUGUCACGAAUGAGCGAAUCAUGAAAACCGUCAACUCUAUGUUAACGAAAUAAAAAAGAUUCAAAUUCGUAUCAUAAAUUAUAUUUUCAAUAAGUGAUAUCAUUUUUUGUGCGAAGCCGAUAAAUUAGACUUCCCGAAUGUAUUAGUCCUAAUAUUUAUCACGGAUCUCGCAUCAGGUCAAAAAAAUCAAUACCUUAAAAAGAGUUGGCCAGAUCAAACUAUUGGCCCAUAACUUAAAAAUAGAGCUGGCCCAUCGAAAUAUUUCCGCCCAUAAACAUCUUGGACUUCAGCCCAUUAACUUCCGUCAGUGCAGCAGAACUUUCUUUUUGAAUGGUUGCAGCAGAAGAACUUUCGAAUUAUCACUUCAAAAAAAAAGUUCGAAACUUUCUUCCCUCCCUCUGGGUCUGCACUGCAGCAAACAUUUCUUCUUCUUCUUCUGAUCAAAUGGGAGUGAAGAACUUAUGGGACAUCUUAGAAUCAUGCAAGAAAACAUUACCACUCCAUCAUCUCCAGUAACCUUCUUCUCCCCUCUAUUACCCUUCAUUUCCCCCCUCCAUUUCUCUCCCGCUUCAGAGCGAUUGAAAUCCAGGGUUUUACUGUUUUGCAGGAACAAAAGGGUGUGCAUAGAUCUCUCCUGUUGGAUGGUUCAGCUCGAAAAUGUCAACAAAUCACACUGUGCUCUCAAGGAGAAGCUCUACCUCAAGGGUCUUUUUCAUCGCCUUAGAGCUCUCAUCGCUUUGAAUUGCAGCCUUAUCGUGGUUACUGGUAUUGUUCGUUACUUACCCCCCCCCNNNNNNNNNNNNNNNNNNNNNNNNNNNNNNNNNNNNNNNNNNNNCCCCCCCCUUUCUCCCCAAAUCGCUUUUGAAAUUGUGUAGAGUCGUUGGCGGCUAUGCCAUUUAAGGCUAUGUUCAUUAUGGAUUUCAUUUGAGUUCUAAAAUCUAUCUAAUUUGAAAUUUGAAGAAAUUGAAAUAGAAGAGGAAUAAGGAAUUGAUAUUAUGUGCAGUUGUCAAACUUACCAAGAUACUAAAACAUCAAUUUUCAAGAUAUUAACUGGAACAGCUUUGGGUUUCUGUGGCUCUCUUUAUGACUGGAUUCUUGAUGCCUUUACUUUUUUGCCAGAUGGUUCAAUCCCAGCAAUCAAAUUGGCUACUUAUAGACGAAGGUUAAACUCUGCACCAGAGGUAGUUUGGUUGAAAAACUGCAUUGAGCCUUUUGUCUGUAUGUUAUCUAUUUUAUUCUGGAUGAUUCUUUCUAUCAGUUAAGUCUGUUUAGUUCAAUUGUUCUUUUGAAAUUGCUGCGGGCUACUCAGGACGAAACGAGUUCACAGAACGCAUGCUCGCUUAAACGAAAUGCGGGUUCGGAGUUCUCUCGCAUGGUAAAUGAAGCUAAGUUGCUCGGUUCAGCACUUGGGAUUCCUUGCUUAGACAGGUAUUGCUGUAGCUUUUGAAGAUGAAGAUAAACCACAAUUCGGUUGUGGUUCUUACUGUUUUUUCUGUCGAUAUUGGUCUUAUGUUUCUGCUUGCUUUUUCUUAUUCAGCAUGGAGGAAGCUGAAGCACAAUGUGCAGCGCUAAAUGCAGAAUCUCAGUGUGUAAGCAGGAAACUUUUUUAACAUAGGCUUCAUUAAAAUUGUUAUUUACUCGAGACUUUUGUUAACUUAUUGCUUGCAUUAUCAGGAUGGAUGCUUCAGUUCAGAUUCAGACAUUUUCCUUUUUGGUGCGAGAACUGUAUACCGAGACAUAUCCCUUGGUGAACCCUCUGAGCAUAUAACUAUUUGUGAAACAAUAUGAUUAUAUUAUCUAUCUCAUUGCUAAUCUUGGCUUCUUCUGAUUAGGGGAUGGUGGUCACGUUGUCUGCUAUGAAAUGGCUGACAUCGAAAGGAAACUUGGGUUUGGGAGAAACUCAUUGGUAAGACUUCCCAUUAUAGCAUUGUUCAAUGUCCUGAGUUUAUAACGUAUUUUCGUCUCCAGAUUACGUUGGCCCUUCUUCUCGGAAGCGACUACUCUAAUGGAGUUUACGGCCUAGGUCCAGUACGUUGAAAAACUCUUCAUUAUUGAAGCUUCAUCCUUCUUCUAACACAUUGGAGCAGUAAUGUAACUUAGCGAUUUCGCAGGAGUCAGCUUGCCGGAUUGUUAAAACCAUCGGAGACAAUACUAUCCUUCAGAGAAUUGCAUCAGAAGGACUUUCCUUGGCAAAGAGGAAGAGUAAGAAGAAGAAUGGUGCUUCAUCUUUGAAUGAGAACCAGCUGGAACCUGAAAUCCCUGCCGAUACAGAACGACAGAAACAGUUUCUGCAAGUAAUCGACGCGUAUCUAAAGCCCAAAUGCCACUCCGCCGAUUCGGAAUCAGUCUACAAGUGAGUUCAAUAGUUCAUGCAUGUUAUGGGUCGUUUGGAUGAGUUAUUUUGGCCCAAAAUACCUCGUUUGACAUCCCAAAAAGAAUCUGUGGUAUUUCGGAACUGAUAUUUCAAAUAACUCACUUUGAGUUAGUUCAAAUGCCCCCAGGACAUUUAAAAUACCACGGUAUUUCGACCUCUUUGGCCUUUUGGUUUACCAAAUACUUCAUUGAAUUAACUCAUUAGUCAAACAAUUUAUUCCCAAACGACAACCCUUGCACCUCAUAAAUACUACAUUCUCAUAUAACUCAUCAUUUUGCUCCAAAAUACCACGCAUGAAAAAUGUGCAAAAUAACUCAUCCAAUUGGCCCCUAGUUAUCUCUUCUUCAUUGAGAGUUUCAGCAAAAGAAAUGUUUCCUGCCUAUGUUUAGGGCUCUAGGUCUGUACCCAUUUCAACAUAACAAGUUACAACAGAUCUGUGCAGACUUCUUUGGUUGGCCUCCUGAAAAAACAGGUAGAUUGAUAAAAACUCUUGUUUUCGAGUUUCGACGAAAGGAAAUCCAUUUUUUGAUUUAAUGGCAGGUUUUUUUUCAAUGGCUUAGAUGAAUACAUCCUUCCGAAAGUAGCCGAGCGAGACCUUAGACGAUUCGCAAACUUGCGUUCGACUUCAUCCAAACUGGGAGUUGCACCUUCUUUGGACAUGGUAUCUUUCAUCCUUUUUCUAUUAUUGUUCACGGAUUAUUAUGAUAAAGCUUACCACCUGGGUUUUCUCUGCAGAUGCCAAUCAAUUGCCCUGUAGUGGAAAUCAUUAAACCGCGAAAAGUGCAAGGGAGGGAAUGCUUCGAGGUUUCGUGGGAAGGUUUCGAUGGACUUAAGACGUCUAUAGUUCCUGCUGAUCUUGUACAGAAGUAAGCUAAUGGUGAGGAAUGAGAAAUUGAGAGCUGCUCAUGUUAAUCUUCAGAUUUUCUUUUUUUAUCAACACUUCUAUUAAUCUGCAGAGCUUGCCCAGAAAGGAUUACAGAGUUUGAAGAGAAAAAAGCACAGGCAAAGAAACAAAACCAGCGCAAACCGAGAGCAAAGAAAUCACAGAAGGGACAUGAUCUUGCUGAGCUAGACAUGAAACUUCAGAGCCUAAUGCUCGAAAUUGAAUCAGGAUCGGGAGGGAGCAGCAGUGUUCCAUCGAACGGUGAGAUCGAGAGCUCUGACAAGAUGCCCAGUUCAUCUAUCAUCGAUUUGACAGAAGAUCAGUAUGAAGCCACAGGUAUUGAGAGGAAUGCCAUGUCAUCAGAGUUCGUCGAUCUUUUGACCCCUGCUCCACUACCUGGUAAGAGUCUCACAGUUUCGACUUUACGAAAUGAGAUUGACGAUGGAGCCAUUGUUAUUCCGGUGAUAGACUUGAGUGACUCGGAGAUAGACGAGUCCCCACAGCCUCUGGAGAAACGUUUGUACAGUUACAUCAAGAAGCUGUAAUAUUGUGAUAUGAUGAGAUGAAAUGUCGAAUACUGUAGCUUUAUCUUAACCCGAAUCAAAUGUCUGCAAAUUGUACAUCUACUACCUAUAGAUAAUUAUCACCAUUCAUACGAAAGCUUUCUGUACAUCUUGAUGGCUAGCCUUGGAGGAGAUCGGCAUCAUUCGCCAGAUCACAAAAUGCCCAAAGAGGCUUCCUUCCAAUUGCAAAAAACCAGUACCAGGAAACCAUAAACCAUCAUUUAGAAUCUCAGGUUUGACCUACUUCGUCAAUAACUCCCUUACUGAGCAUCUCGCAUCCAGUAGAAGCUUGUAAAUUUUCGGAGGGUUGCCACCCUCUAACGCAAACUUAAGGCUCAACAUAAUUUUCCUGAACUUGCAGGCGAUUGUCUCUGUAAAUUUUAUAUCUGCGGAUUCUAAAAGUUGAUAAGCUUCUGAUUGAUCGACCAUCUGCAAUUGUUUUUUCUCAUCUUGUAGUUUGCCACUUACUGCCAUUUCCAGCGUGGCAGCCAUCUCAGCAGCUCGUUUUACACACGACAAUGGUAGCUGCACGAAAUAUCAUAGAUUUCAAAGUCUAACCAGGUUAACAAAUUUCACAUGAAGCAAUCAAAGUUAAAAAAAAGAAACAGAAAGCCCUCACCUGAGCAAACUCAGCAACCUUGAACCCGAAACUCCUCUCGCAAACACCAGGGACCAGCUUAUACAGAUAAGUAACACCAUCAGAUGUCAAGUCGUUAGCAUCCGUUGCUUUUGUCGAAGUCAGGUAAGACACGUGGUAUGCUCCCACAGAGCCUGGAAAUGUCAUUUCGAUCUCUGAGAUUUUCGGGUAGUGGGUCACGAAAAGGACCAUGCACCUUUUCUGCUCCAGAAGAUGGUGUAAAGUGGCAAAAGCGAUAGCUUCCCCAUCAUGUGUGUUUGUGCCCCUACUGAGCUCAUCGAUGAUGACUAAGGAUUGAGAUGUACAUUUCUGGAGUAUAUUUGAAGUCUCAUUAAGCUCUUCUAGGAAAGUACUUCGUCCUUGUUGAAUGCUAUCGGAAGCUCCCAUCCGAGUAUAGAUACCAUCCAGCACAUGCAGCUUACAAGAUGAUGCUGGUACAAAUGAGCCAACCUAGAUGGUUCAGACAAACUAUUAUUAACCAAAAUCAAAGCAAGGAGGGUUCAGCAUAGACAAAAACAAGAAUGAAACGAGGUGAUGUCCUUUGACGAUGUAAGCCUAAUAGUAGACAAACAGGAAAACAAGCAUUUUGACUAUUUAUUACAUGUCCCUGGUGGUCCAGAAUCAUUCAAGUUACUAGAUUAGAAAAGAAAAUGAAAACGAAAACUCACUUGGGCCAUGAUAGCAAUGAGAGCAACUUGGCGUAUGUAACAACUCUUGCCACCCAUGUUUGGUCCAGUAACAAUCUGACAGUAUUCUCCACGAGCAUUUAGCUUUGUAUCAUUGGGGACGAAAGUAUCAUGCAAUAUAGUUUCCAAAACCUGUUACAAGUUCAUAAAUAAUCAACUCACCAGAAAAUUACAGAAACAUAUGUCCAUUAUGAAAAAUAUGAGGGAAUUUAAUUAGAGAAGAUAUAUACCGGGUGACGACCACAGCAGAUAUCUAUCUGGACUGGUUCACUGUCGUCCACGAAGGUUGGGCGAACGUAACUCUGACAAGAUGGUCAUCACUAGAUGUCAUGAAACUAGAACGAAAUAGGAUUAGUUAGUACUAUAUAGUCUAGCUCGAAAUUGUACCUUAGUUUUCGAAAGAGUGGCAAGAGAAAGUAAGCAAUCCAAAGCAGCAAGUGCUUGACCAGCAGCUUGGAACUCUAUAUAUUUACUGAAACCGCUUAGGAAGCUGUCCCAAGCAGUUCGGCAAUUGAUCAUCAGCUCCUCCUAAGCUACUGACAACUGGUCUAAUGCAGUCAAUACUUCGGAAGGGUGAUAUCGAAUUGUUUUCUUGGUACCGUUCACCUUAACCCAGUUCAAGGACACCUUGACAUCUAUGGGCAACUGCAUACCAAAAUCACAUGAAUAUAAUGAAAUGUGCCCCAAGAUAACCUUCCAAUCAAACAAUGAAACCAUUUUAAACAAGAAAUGCCCAAAUGGAUGUCAUUAUUUUGCAGAAGAUGCUCUGUUCUUUACCUCUAUCAAAUGAGCGAUUCCAGAUAAGCUGAUAAAUUCCAACUUCCGAGCACAAAGCUGCUUCCGAUACAAAGGCAACAAAGAAUCCAAUUUCUCCUCCGCCAAUUGAACUGCUUUUCGAGCAUUUGCAACCUACGUGUAGAUAAAGGACACGUUUAAUACUAGGCAAGUGAUCAUUCAACAAGUAGAAAAGUUACAGAUUUAGAAGAUAAUAACAUUAUAAAAGCACAAUCUCCGAGAAUUGUCCAUCGGACACUAUAACCAAGUUCAGAAGAUCCCCUCGCUCAGCUGCUUCUUUAUUUACAGAAGACAAUAGUUUUGCAGCAGUGUGGAUGAUGAUACUGUCGAAAUUAAUGUUUUCAGUAGAACUGAGUGUACAGAGCUUGUCUGAUCACUAUUACUGUUGUGCUCUUGAACACAGAGUCGCUUAAGUUGUUUACCAGCAUAUAGUAUGGCUUCAAUAACUGCAACAAACUGUCAUCGAAUCACUUCAGUAAGUGAACAAGCGAACCAUACGGGUAUUGAAAGAAAGCAAUCAAAAUUUCCCUAAUGAAGGAAACAAGUCCAAGAGUUUCCCAGUAAAUACCUCUUUUGGGGUAGCAGUUCGAUGGAAAAUUCUUGUUAUCCCACGCUGGAUAUCAGGUAAUCUUCCCAAAUUUGUUAAUACCGUAGAAAGAAGAUAAUAUAAGUCAUUUUGUAUGGAGAUUAUUUAAGAAUCUCCCUUGUCAAGCUCACCAAUUGCCCGUGAAGGUUUACCAGGCGCUCAAGGAAUCCACAAUUUCAGAAACCGCAUCAAGACGAGCGUGUAUCAAGUUUCUAUCACAUAGAGGAUGAGUCACCUGUCCCAUGAAAAUAUGAAAUGAACCAUGUAUCACAUAAAUGCAAUGGGCAGAAAAAGGUGCAAAAAAGAAAUCAAUAAUUAAGAAAUUCCCAUACCCAUCGUCUCAGUAGCCUUGAACCAUAUAUGGUAAGAGUGUUACUCAGGAUGUGCAAUAAGGAUCCAGACUCAGAUCCAUCAGAAUUAUUCCUUAAAAUCUGAACCAAAAGCAAUUAUAUGGAUCAAAAUCAGGUCUAGCGUCAAAGAUAUCACAUUACAGACGUCCAUGUUAUAAAAGAACAUGCAAACUGCUUUCAGAGACCCUCCUCAGAAACUAUUGCAAGGUCCAUUCAUAUAUAUGCAUUGUGGUUAUAAAAUUCAAGGGGUAUAGAGCACAUAUUGAACUGAGAACGGAAAGGGCUGUUAGACCAUUAUGCUUCAUUCUGACGUUUGGAAUUCUCACACCUCUAGCUGUUGGAGUGUAUUAGCGGAAAGGUUCAUCUCGAUACUGCUCGAUAGAGGCCGGAACGAAUCAUCAUUGCAUAAAAUUCUUUUAAACCCAAACUGCUUUAGAUGACGAAUAGUCAAAGCCAAUGCUUGUACAGCCAAAUCAGGCAUGUUCAUGAUUCCCUGCAGAAAAAAGGAAUGCCAACCAGUAGAUAACAACUUCCACGUAUAAGGACUAGUAGGCCAUAUAAAAAAAGCCAACCGAACUCAAAACGCGACAAAACUCCAUACCUUAAUUGCCCGGUUGUGACUCAGCACCACUCCCACCCCUACAACUUGCUUCUCAUCAUCCACCGACUUAUGAUCAUCGCCCAAAUUCUCAUACAACGACGUCACCUCAGCAAGUGCAUCACCAUCUCUAAAGCAAUGGCAUGAAAUUCUCUCAACUCGGACGCUCGAUGCAGGUCCAGCAUAAGCCAGUAGCGACUGUAGAAAUGCAGAUCAUCUAUUAAGCCAGAACCACUAAACCAGUCUGUUCCAAGACUCAGACUUUCAUGUGUUAUUCAUACAAUGCCACAAACUAUGAUAAAUGAACAAACUUUACCUUCUCGGUCGGUUUUGAAAGUGGAUCCCCAAGAAGCAACUCAGCAGGAGCCAACCCAAAACCAAAGCCUCCAACCCACUCCUCAUAAUCCCAUCACUACACUCCCCAUACACAACAUCCCCAGUCGAAAUCUCAACACCCACAAUCCCAAUCUUCACAUCAAUCCCAGAAUCCUCACUCUUUUCCACAACACAACACAAAUAAUUACUCUCCCCACCACAACCUUCCUCCUUUCCUCCCAUACCUUCCGCUGCCUCCAGCGUAGCUUUGGGGUGCAGCGCCGAUAACCCUCUACAAAACGGCCCCGUUCUAUUCUCCCCAUGAGCCUUAAUCGCCGCAGUCUCGGUCUGCUUCACAACCCCAACUUUAUACCCAGCACUCACCAGCCUCCUCACGUAGACAUUUAAUCGAACAGUUGGUAUGCUCGCGGUUAAAAAAUUAUGAUCGACGUGCGCGAAAAUCCCCAAUACUUUAGAAGCAAUCCCGGCGUCUUCACCGAAGAAUCUGUACUUGUAACCGACUUCAACCAUCAGGAUCACGUCGGGAUGCUUGGUUUUCAGCUCCACAACCUGCUGCUCCAGCGGAGUGUACUUCUUCGUGGAGGGUGGGGUUUCGGAUUCGAUCGGAGUGGGUUCGAGGAGCUUGUCGAGGAACCGUUGGUGGGUGUGAGGGGAUAAUGGAGGGGUGGGGUUGUGGAUGUGAGGGGGGAGUUUGGGUCUCUUGGAGGAGGUGAGUUGGGCGGCGAGGAGCUUGCGUUUGGCGGGAGAGAAUGAGACGGUGGUGGUGAUUUUGGGGGAGGAAGUGGUGGUGGUCGGAGGAGGCGUCUAGGGAGGAGGAUGAUCGUCGGGCUUGGGUUUGGGAGCGAAGAAGCGGGAGACUACUUGCUGUUUAUGCCCAUUGUUGGGAUUGCGGAGAAGUGGAAGAGUUUGGAGGAACUAUGGCGCUACUGUACUGGGUUCGGCCUCUGGACUGGAAGAAGUUAGAUAAUCGCCGCAGUUCCCUUUGUUUUGGCGCGCCUUUCUUUCUCUCUUUUUUUUAUGCCUCUCUCUAAUUUUUUUAAAAUUAAAAAAAAUCAACUAAUUUAAAAGAAUCAAACAUGCUACGAAAUACGCUGACUUUCGAAUCAAUAAACAAUAUAAAGAUGAAGCAAAGGAGCACAACAAACAUAAUCUCGUCAUUAUAUAAUAAUAUUACGAGAUUAUAAAAUCUUCUUACAUUACAUUUAGACACUCAACGAUUAAUACUCAUCCCAUAAUAAUUAAUUUUCAUAGUUGUAUUUGGAUUUGCAUCUCCUCGUUGCUGAUAUAUGCACAAGAUUUGUUGUACUUGAUUGUGUAAUUGACAUGGUAACAGUGGGUAACAAUUGUUUACCGUUCUUUCCAUGAAUAGUGUUGUUACAUGGAUUUUGUUGUUUUAAUGUAACUUUUUUAUUAGUCCGUUACAUGGGUUAAUAAGUGGUUUCACAUAAAUAUUAAUCUUUUUAUAAUAGGAUUGUUACAUUUAUUACACAUGUUGCAACAACAAAUGUUAAGAUUUGAGACAACGUUUUCAACUAAUAUGAUAUAUAAAAACCCGACCAUUACAUGGGAUUAUAAUUAGUAGUUAAAUGAUUUUUUUACAAACAAUCAUCAACUUUUAUAUUUUCAAAAAAUAAUAGCACAGUAGCAUACAAGAUACUUUAUCGGAAGUGUAGAUCUUGCGGACAAGACUAUAUGAAUCGCGGUUUCUUACGAAUAAGUGACUUCAACCCUUUCUCUCCAACCUAGCGGGCAAUCAAAACCAUCAUGACGAAAAAAUUAAGAAACUAACUACCAGAAAAACUGACAAAGAAAUCAAUCCGACUCAUAAAAACUAAACCUAGCGAACAUGAAUGAAAAUCAUUUUGAUUAGGCUACCACCGAGGGAGGUUGGGACCUCAGCUGCUGGGACUCGGACAUUAGUGUGGCAGACCAGUUGCUCGAGGCUGACUGACUGUUGAUGUUGAGGGUGAACUCCGUCCCACUUUCUCGGAUUUCGUUGCCUACAAUUGGCCGCUGGAUCCGUUGAAUGAGUUGGUCGUGUGACUCCGACCGAGCAGGCUGUCUGUAGAGCAGUGAAGAGUUGGAUGAUGGCGUCGGAGGCGGGAUUGCCUGAAGUAGUGAUGUUUGCGAAGGGUGUGGCAGGAAGGGCAACGGUUGUGUGGUUGCGAGCGCGAGUUGAGAUUUUGUUUUGCUUGAGAGCAACAGAGGGGGGAGACGAUGACGUGGUUGUGAUUUGCGUGGGAGCAGAGGAGGGAGGAGGUAACGAUGUGGUUGUGGUUUGCUUGGGAGCAGCAGAGGUAAGGGGCAAUGGCAAAAUCAUGGUGCGGCUAUUUCGAAAAUUAAGUUUAGGGUAACUCUCCUUUAAGAAGCAUUUUAGAUAUCUUAGACAUCUGUGAAUUUGAAAAUUGAUAAUGCUUUAAUUAAUUUGAUUUUUUUUUACCUCUAAAUGACCUUUUUAAGUAGUUAAAUGACAUGUACGUUAAGCACAUAAUAUAUCAUCAAACAUUUUUUGAAAUAUAAUUCUUUAGUUCAUAAUGAAUUGUACGCAAAUAUUAUUAGGGUGAGUUUGGAUCAGGUCACCCAUCAAACUCACCUGUCAUAACUCAAUUGGUUCAGAAGUUGGUAAAUGUUGUGUGUAAGUUUGGGUUUGGGUUACCACUCAUCCUUUGAAGGGAACUACUCAUAAAAACUCCUAAUUAGCACCCAUGAAGAAAGACUCACAAUUAUAUUCAACUCAUCGAUUUUUCAAUUAAACCACUUAUUAAUCCACCGAUUUAUCAAUCCAGAACCAAUGGAAAUCAACCCACCUAAUUCCACUUGCCCUCAUCUAAAGUCUUAAAAUGUGACAGAAACCAAAUCAAAUUUAUAAUUCUUCACAAACCAUUAGAGUAGUAAUACAAAAUCAACAUACAUAACCCAAGAAAUGAAAACGUAACGGUCCAAGUCAUUCAUUCAGAUCUGUCUCGUGGGGAAACAGAGCCAUAUACGUAUCUACGUAUACUCCUCGGGGGUAGCUAGAGCCACGAGCAAGCAAGAAAACAAAAAGGCCAUAGAAAUACACGUAGGCCUCGCUUUGGCAUUUUGAAAACUGGGUGUCGAGUCUACGUUGCACACCAUUCGUUUGGUUAUUGAUGUAUACGCACAAGUGUUUGUGUUUUUUGAGGUACAAAAGCAGCCACCAUGCACUUUAAUUUGCUAACCGAUCUAUACCCCACCCACCCUUUAAUUAACCGAUCUGAUCAGCGUCGUCAUUAUACAUAUUUUAAAUACCACCCUCCUUCAAAUACUCAUUAAAAAAAACUAUAGUGGAAGCUGAUUUACAAGAUUAGACCUUUUUCCUGAACAGUGUAUUUUAUAUGACUGUCACUGCAAAGUGGCAGUUGCGUAAUUGUUGCUGGUACAAGACGAAUAAAAUAUUAGCGAAUUAGUCCAGCAGUACUCCAGCCUAUAUAUCCACAUCAGUCUAUAGGCAAAGCUUAGGAGAAGCCUUCCAUUGGUCCAGAAGCCUAUAAACACAAAGAAAAAACAAAAAUAAUACCGUAAACCCCUCCAAAAUUCCAAAAGAAAAACAGCAUUUCUGAAUGGGCGGCAAAUGAAUAACCCCAACCCAGAACCAGAACAAGAGCGAGCCAGAUGCGAGUGGGACUUCACCCUUCGAACCACCGUCUCCUCCGCCGCCUCCUCAUUCUCCGACGCCCUAGGGGUCAUCGAAUGCGACCCCUCCGCCAGCCUCAUCGCCACUGGGGGNNNNNNNNNNNNNNNNNNNNNNNNNNNNNNNNNNNNNNNNNNNNNNNNNNNNNNNNNNNNNNNNNNNNNNNNNNNNNNNNNNNNNNNNNNNNNNNNNNNNNNNNNNNNNNNNNNNNNNNNNNNNNACAGCAGCGAACCUCCGCAGCCUCCGCUGGCGACCCCAUACCGGCGGCGGAGUAAUCGGCUGCGGCGACUACGACGGCGUCGUGACGGAGUACGACCUCGAGCGGGGCGGGGUCCCGACCUUCGAGCGGGACGAGCACGGCGGCCGACGCGUAUGGAGCGUCGACUAUGGUUGUUUCGGCCUGUAGGCGCCAGCUGCGGUGUGGUCGGCGGCGGCGCCACGGCGGUUCUCUGCGCCUCGGGUUCCGACGACGGGACUACCCACGUGUGGGACCCGCGAUGCGAGGGAGGGGAAUGCGUGGCUGUAAUACGGCCAAGCGGGUCCGGAUCCGCUGUAUGCUGCGUGGAGUUCAAUCGUUCUCGUGGGACGACGCUAGCCGUGGGAUGCGCUGACCGGAAGGUGUACGUGUACGACUGCCGCAUGCUGGUCCACCCUCUCCUUACCAUGGGCGGGCACACCAAAACGGUAACGUACGUCAAGUUCCUCGACGAAACGACUCUGGUCUCCGCGUCUAUAGACGGGAGCUUGAAGCUGUGGGAUCUGGGUAACCACUCGGUCGAACCGGUUCGGACCUACCGCGGACAUUCCAACGGUAGAAACUUCGUAGGGUUAUCGGUUUGGAAUGGGGGCGGGUUGCUGGGUUGCGGUUCGGAGAGUAACCAGGCGUUCGUGUAUGAUCGGAGGUGGGGCGAACCGAUUUGGAUGCAUGGUUUCAAACCGGUUGAACCAAGCACCGACGGGUUCGUGAGCAGUGUGUGCUGGAAGCAAAGUGUGGACGACAAUCUCGACAGCAGACAAUGUACGUUCGUGGCCGGCGGAUCGGAUGGAACGUUGCGAGUUUUCGAAGGGAUGAAGAAGAAGAUGACGGCGCCGGCUACUUCUUCCGUUGCGCCGACGAACACAUGAGAUAAGAUCUUCUAUAUUUCACCAUUCUUUUUUCUCGUUACAUGAACUAUCAGAGAUUACCCGUUUGUAACGGAUUUAUUUGUUAUACAAAUACAUUGAUUGCCUGACAUAUAAUAUCCAUGGCUUUUAAUUUGCAAUGGUGAUUAUUAUUAUUCGUAAUGAUUAGUGAUGUGGUAAAUUUAGAUUUUCGAAAUUGGUGAUCUAGAUCUAAUAAAGUAAUAUAGUUAUCGAGGUACGAACUUAAUUUGAUAUUGAUGAAAGUAGAUACAAAAUUCGAGUCUAUAUACAAUUUUUGGUCGUUAACAUCCAUAUGAAACAUGUUUCCAUCCAAAUUUUGUAUGUAAUGAAAGAAACUCGCCACAUUUACCCCUGUGCAAAUCCGAGAAGGUGGCACAUUAUGUUAGAUGAUCACCAUGGAAAGGGUCUUUACGGACGUAUGAUUGCUAUAUCGAGCACGCACCGAGGAUGGUCAUUAUCAUAUGCAAUCAGUGGAUGCCGAUUAUGGGGAGAGUACUAGUUAUGGAAAUGGAAAGAUAUCAUCAAAAUCUUUCCAUUUUUGGCAGUGAGGUAAGAAGAGCCACAGGGUUUGUUAGUUAACAGNNNNNNNNNNNNNNNNNNNNNNNNNNNNNNNNNNNNNNNNNNNNNNNNNNNNNNNNNNNNNNNNNNNNNNNNNNNNNNNNNNNNNNNNNNNNNNNNNAUGACUUCUAGAUUUUAUACUAUAUAAUAAUAAAUUUUCGUGUUUCAGAGUACGAGUCAAAGAAAAUCGAGUUAAAAAUUUGGUAGGUGUAGCUGACCACGAAAAAAAUAAAUCNNNNNNNNNNNNNNNNNNNNNNAAUAAAAUAAGGAGAACAAAAAAUAGGAAUCGAACCCUCCCUAAACUCUAAACCCUAACCCUAAAUCCUAAAAUCCUAAACUCUAAACUCUAAACCUAAACCCUAUAUACAUUAAUAUUAAAUUUAAUCAUUCUCUCAAGUCAUUUUCUGCAUUCCACGUGAAUUUUUGAACUCAUUGAUGUAACUCGGAUUUGAUUCCCAAUCAUAUUAAUGAUAUAUUUAUCUGUAGAAGUUUUAUCCGGAAAGAUGUAAGAAUUUCUCAUUCCAAAAUUAUUCAAUAAAAAGCAUGAACCAAAAAGCUAGCGAAAAGUUGAAACUCACAUCUUCUUGUCGCACGAGCUUCAACGAAAGAUCAUGUUCGGAACUCAUAUGAUAUGCAAUUUCAUGUUUGGAAUUUUCAAUAUAUAUAAGUACGGUCGUUUUUCAUAGUUUUCAUUUAAAUGAUCUAUCAUGUAUGACUGUUGGUAGGUUUGGCAAUUUUGACCGCGUAACCGACCAUAACCUUACCGAGUUUGACGGUUAUUAACCGUGUUGACUGGAUAUUUUGAGAUUAUGGUUAUAACCUUUAACCGCUAGGAAUCAGUAAGGUUAGGUUAUGUGUUUUUUAGUAACCGCACUAUUACUGUAACGAUAUCCAUAAUCAUCACCGAUCCGCUAUAUAACCAACAUUAAUCCGUCAUACAUGAGCCCAAUAAACCUACUAGAUAACCUAAAUGUAAAUGAAAUUUAUUAAGAAAACUGAAUCAAAUCCAUUUACUCAUUCAUUCCUAAAAAAUAUCUCAUCUUCGACUUCAACGAUAUCUCUUCGUCUUUUUGUUUUCUAUAUAACUCAAUCAUUAUUCUUGGAUAGAAAAUACCUCAUCCACCACUUUAGAGAUGAAUUAAAGUGGAUGCAUUUUGAUUUUUUAUUUUUUUAUUUAUAAUGAAAAGUGAUUAUAACCGUUAACCGCAUGUGUAUGAUGAUGAAAUUAAUUUUAUCACCGAAAUAAAAAUGGAGAUGAUUAUGGUUAAUAACCACCACAAAAGUGAAUAAAUAAUGAGAAUGUCAUAACUAUCAACGAACCUCCUCAUUGCCAAACCUAACGAUUUGAUAUCAUAUAAGGUUUGAAUUUAUGGUUGAAAGUGGAAAAAUUAUAUGUUAAAUUUUUUUUCAACUUCAAAGAUAUUUAAACUACCUAAUUACCUAAUGUUAGGCCACUGAAUCACUUUCGUCGACACUUUGCAGUCGUGCCUGUAUCAUGUUCGGUACAUGCCUUUGUACUGAUUUUUAUACACAUGACGAUAAGCCAAUCUUUUUAUGUGUACAUGAUUUUAUACUUAUUUUUUACGAAUUAUACACUCCCACUAACUUGGGCUGACCCACCUGAAAUAUUCGAUGGUAAUUACUUGGGCCCAAGCCGGAGGACGAAUUAAUAUUUCCAGGCCUCAAGUAAUGAGUGGAUUGUGGGCCGCGUGACUGCAUCUAGCGUGAACUUGUGGGUCGAAUUGUUGAUGUAGUGAUGUUAGAGGCUGCACUUGAAAUGACAAAUUAAGGUUUGAUCCCCUAUACUAACGUUGGAAGAGGAGUAAAAUUUUAGCCUCUGGAUCAUCAUCGACUGGAUUAGUCGGCAAAUGUAUCGACUGAUACGAUAUUUCAUUACUAAUUGCAAUCUUGAGCAAAUUACAUGCAAAUAUAUUGACAGAUUGGUAGUAUCACAAGGUCUCUAGCACUAAUUCGAGUCUGGGCCAAAUUUGCUCAAUCCAGAAGCUGUCCAAUAACUCAAGGGGCUGCCUUGAGUGAGUCUACGGCCUGAGAUCAGGCCUACUACCCCCACCAUGAUAGUUACUUGUACCGGUGGUCUUGAGAGUGUUCAUCUCUUCCAUCAUUUCUCGAGCUUCUCGAGCCUCGGACCAUUGACCCACCGAAGCAUGGAUACUAGACCAAAGCGCAUAAACUCCUGGUUCAUCCACCAUCGACUCGACAGCUCUCCUCCCUACAAUCUCAGCAGACUUCAAAUCACUUCUUGCUUUGCAUCCCGAAAGCAAACUUCCCAACAUGGCAGUAUCAGCCUUAUACGGCAUACCUUCCACCAAACUCUGUGCCUCAUCAACCUGACCGUUUCGACAUAGCAAAUCAACCAUACAACCAUAAUGUUCAAUCUUCGGUCUGACCAUAGUACUAAAAAUCUCGCGACCUUGUUCUAGCAAACCUCCGUGACUACAAGCGAACAACACGCUCGUGAAGCUGAAAUCGUUUGGCUUCAAUUCCAUCGACCGGAAAAGCUUGACGGCAUCUUCUGCUCUUCCAUUGAUGGCUAGUGACCUGAUCAUUACAUUCCAGCAGAACACAUCCUUGUUCCCGAUCUUUGUAAAGACAUUGAAGCUUCGAUCCACGUCUCCACACUGAGCGUACAUUUUGACUAGGGCGGUCCCCACAAUGACUUGCAGUUGUGACCAAUCUCGUAUCAGGUAGUGUACGUAUUUUCCGAACUCCAAGUUACCUAGCUUAGAACAAGCUAGAAGAACAGAUACAAAGGUGUGACCGUUAGGCAAAAACCCUGCUGACUGCAUCUGAAAGAAAAGAUCCAAUGCUUCUGCAAACUUGUUAUGGUUGAUGUAGCUUGAGAUCAUUGAGUUCCAUGAUACCACGUUCCUUAUAGGCAUUUCCUCGAACACCUGUAUCGCUGUUUCAAGCUUCCCUGAAUCGGAGUAUGCACCAAUCAUGGAAGUCCAGGAAAUGACAUUCUUUUCUGGCAUCGAGUCGAACAGUUCCCUUGCAUUGGCUACUUCUCCGAUUUUUGAAUAACCUGAAAUCAUGGAGUUCCAGGAAACAACGUCUCUCUCUGUCAUCUCAUCAAACAACUCUCUUGCUGAUCCGACAUCUCCGGAGUUUACAUACUCGGAUAUCAGCCGGUUACAAAGUUCCACUGGUCUUACAGGCAUUUCAUCGAAUACCUUCCGUGCAUUACUUAACCUCGAAUCAGAGUCCGUCAUUUUCAAGUACAUGUUGAAAAGGGAACUGGAAAUCGAAGGAUUUGAGCCAAACCCAGACUUCACGAUCUGGCAAUGGACGAUCUUGGCUCUCCUAUACAACCCCAGCUGGCAACAUGAGCUAAUCACAUACGGGUAUGUGUAGUUGUGGGGCUUUAAUCCUCUUUGAAGCAUUUCAUCGAACAGUUGCAAGGUGAUCUCAGCUGGACCAUUGAACGAGUAACCUCUGAUCAUGACGUUCCAUAGGAUUGUAUGGUCUAAGAGAUUCUCACCCAAUUGAGAGAAUAUCGUAUCCGGAUACCCCAUUGUGCCGAAUUCGGUGCUCCUUCGGAGAAACUUGGAGAAGAUCGGGAUGUUCUGGGCAAGGGUGGUUGUGAUUAGUAAGGCUUGGAUUUGUUUCAGAUGGUGAAAUGUGCAUUUUGGAAGCAGACUGGGGAUCGUCAGUUGGAAGUUUGCAGCCAUGAAUAUAGCCUACCUCUGGCCUAGGGGAAAAUCAACCAAAUUUCAGAGACCUUUCCCAGUAAACAAACAGAGUUGAGGGAGUUGACUGGGAGUGAGCUGCAUGUAUGAUUUAAGUACAUCUUUCUAAACAAGCACAUGUACCAUUGCAAGUUAACAAUAGGAGGUGCAGUCUUCACAAUGAAGUCAAAGUCUGCACGAACCAAAAAUUAUCAUGCCAAAUCGUGAGCAACCCUAUUCCCUUUUCCUUACAAAUAACUGGCAUGUAUACGUAUGAGAUCCCCAGUGUGAAACACACCAUUAGUUGCCCGUCGAAAAUCAAUAGUCCGUCUUCCUAGAUCCGACGGAAGUCGAUCUCAUAUAUAUGCAUUCGAAAAGUGAUAUAGCCACAACGAAUAUGAAAUCGACAACCUUACUACCGAAGUAAUGAGAUUAGGAAAUCAACGCUCAAACGAGCAACCCCUGAACAGUCAACCAUAAACAAUUGACUCAUAUAUGAACUCUUAUCUGACAAGUGACGAGUGAAGCCCAUUCAAACCCAUUAAAUCAUCAAAGCACUAACCACAAACCCACAAAUUUUUAUUUAAGUUGAGCAGAAAACCGAAAAGUUCAAUCAAACCUGAAGCCUGAAAAUAUCACCCAGAGUACUAGUACCAGUAAGUGUUUGUCAAUUGGUCAUAAGGUGGAUGGUGAGUUGAAGAAUAAUGGGGUGGCUAUUUAGCAAUUGCUAGGAAUAAAAUGUGCUUGUUAACUUAAAAGAAUUGUUAAAUUAGAAAUUAUACUAAUAAAAGCACAUAAACAAUUAGAUUAAUUUCGAAAGAAAAACAGUUAUCUAGCAAUGUCACAUAACAUAUAUGCAUCAGAAUAAUUUUAUAAUAAAAUGAAGAUUAAUUAUCGAAUAAAUUAAUUAUCAAAAUUAAUUGUUGAAUAAAUUAAUUACCAAGAACAAUUUCUGGUAUGGGGGAAUUAAAGAACUGAUUAAAAUGUUGAAGUAAGCAAAGCACUUAAAGCUAGAAUCAUCCUGACCUCAUAGCGAUUAUCUAUUGAAUUAAAUGGACGGCUAUGAUUUGCUAUUGACUUCCCUUCAAUUUAUUUGGUGUGAGGUCACCAUGUUUUCUAUAUAUGCAUUAUAUCACGGUUGAUAUUAAUUUCUUAUCUUUUUAUUACUUGUUGAUAUAGUUUUGAUAUGUUUUUAUCUUUUCAUAACAUCUUUGUUCUUCUCGAUUCGUCCUUGUUAUUCAGUCUUUUGGCUCAUCGAGAUUAAUAAAAGAUCAACGGCGAUAUCAUCAUUUUAUUAGGUAAGAAUAAGUUGAUGUAAAAGAGAGUAUGACGCGUAAGUAGGGAAACAAAGAAGUAUAUGAAAUUUGCCCAAAGGUGUAUGACCAGUUAUAUAUGUAUAAAAUAGUGUACGGUAUAUAAAGUUGGGGUAGAUGAUGUGUUAUAAAUUAAUGACCAUCGUGUUUUAUGUAGAGUCCUUCGUCAAGAUAUAUGGAUCCGGGUUCCAAAAAUCUCUCAUAAUUGAACCAUUAAAAUCGUAUUCGAGUGGAGUUAUUUCGGUGGCAGAGUUGUGUGUCGGGUGAGAGAUUCUGAGUUCAAAUCCAAUGCACCCCAUGAAAUGAGCACAAUUAUUUCCUUCUCUCUUAUAAUGACAUGUUAGCUCCGUUUAAACGGGCACAAUUAUUUUCUUUUUUCUUAUAAGAACAUAUUCGCUCCAUCUAUUUUUGACUAAAAAUUAUUAAAACUGUUAAAAUCACUUGAAACCUUUCAAAUAUGUUUUUUUGGUUCAUUGACUAAACUCUAUCAAAUUAUGUAGUUUGAUGGAUUGAACACUGUCAGGCAGUAACGAAACCCACGCGUUAUGGCAGUUUUGUGUGCUUGUCGACUGGUUUAGUCAAUGGACUGGCUUAUCAGUUUUGUUCAUUUUAUUAGAGGUAAUUUUCAUAGUGUAAUAUGUAUCAUUGCAAAAAAAUUAAUUAAUGUUUUUUUAAUUGUAUACAUAUUAACUCAAUCGUGUUCGUUAUACGGUGGCCAUAAUACGACAUAUGCGGUUGUGUUCCUUGCGUGUAUUUGGAAUUGCUUAUAUUAAAUUUACUAGACAUAAUAAUUAAGCUAACUAGACAUUUAUUAUCCCAAUAUAUUUUAUUAUCCCAAUAUAUAUUAUGGUUUUAUCAACCACUAAGAUUGUNNNNNNNNNNNNNNNNNNNNNNNNNNNNNNNNNNNNNNNNNNNNNNNNNNNNNNNNNNNNNNNNNNNNNACGAUAUCGGUCUCGGCAUUCCUGCUGAACCGCUCUUCCGAUCUCAUUCUUAUACAAUGUUUUUUAGGAACUAGAUGAUGAGAACCGGCAAAUAAUAUAUAUCGGUCUAACCGGUUAUAACUAUUCCAUUUAGAAUGUGAAAAAAUAGACGGACCGUAUAAAAAAGAUUUUAACUAAUGUAUUCGCAAAAGAGGUCUCAUUGAAGAAUUUAACAAACCCCUUUACAAUGAAUUUGAGUGAAUCACUAAAACUAUUGUUUUUCAAUCUCUCGUUGUUAAUCAAGUUGAGCUGCUUUGGUGGUAUAGUUUUGUGCUGGCGACUUGAAGGUAUCAAAUUCAAAUUUCACGUAUCCCACGAAUAAACACCAAUGUAAUGUUUAGUUCCUUUCUAUCUAGUGUAACCGAGAGGUCUACUCCAACAAAAAAAAUCUUCCGAAUCUAAAAGAUUGCAAGAGUAUAUAUACUCAUAUGACCUAUCUUUUUAUUUUCCUAAAGACAUAUGACCUAUCUAAGAACCUAAGAUUGUUAUUCAUUUAUUAAAGGAGACCGUGAGCUGUUGGACAAUUAUCAAUUUAAUUGACUCGAAACAUAUUUCCAUAUGUGCGUAUAUUGUUUAGCUGUCCUUUUUCAAAACUAAUUUCCACUUAAAAUUAAGUGCCACCUUUGUUUAGUUUUUUUUAUGUAAUCAAAAUAAUUAAAAGGCAAAAAACUUUGAAAUGUUACGAAAUUUGGGCAUAUGAGAAAUGUCACCAUGGUUUCAAUAUAGAUUUUUUAUUACGAGGUAUUGAGUUUUUUGCCAUAAAUGUCACGCCGUUAAUUCCCGUUGGUUUCGGUUUCACGUGGACAUAACGGUGUGAAGUAAGUCAGCAUUGGCAUCAAUUCUAAAUCCACAUGGGUUUUUCCUUUUUCUUUGCGGAAUUAAAAUGAAAUUGACGUGGGUGUUUUUCAAAAUUUGUCAAAAUAUAUAAACCCGAAAACCCUAAUAUUCCAUUAUUCUCUUAUUCCCUCCAGUUUAAUCACCGUCACCGUCUUCCUUUGUUCUUCCUCUUCAUCUCUUUCACGAUCGUCAUUUGAUGUGAUCAACUAACAGUGGAGUAGGUGAUCGGAUCGACCUCUAUCAGGUGUUCGCACGAUAUGGAGGCCGUACUCAAGACGGCGACUAUCGCCAAGAACCGCGGUCGACAUUUUCCCGAUGUCCAUUCUGGAGGACUUCCGACUGCGGGUUCUUCGCAUGGGAGUCCGAUUGUUCCCGUGAUGAUGAUGUUUCUCGCCCAGGCGUUUUAAGGAGGCGUGAAGAACCCCCCUCGAGCCUACAGAUUGAUCUAGUGCUGCAAGAGAUUAGGGGUGUUAGGAACAAGAUUGAAGGGUUUGAUAACAAAAUGACUUUUGUGCUUGGCAGUAUGUGGGUAGUUGUUCUGUUGGUAGCCAUUAGUUGCACAAUUCGAUAAUCGAACUGCAAUGUACUUGUAUGAGUUGGGGUGUUUUCUAAUGUAAUUGAAAUGACAUUUCUUUUAUAUAAUCUGCAAUGCUUGUCCUUGAUUUUUUAUUACACAUUCAUCUCAAUAAAGAAAGUAUGCAACAACAAAUGAGAAUUGAAGCAAACAACUACAUAAUCAUAUCAUAGAACCAAAAAUGGGGAACACCAGUUACGUGUUAACAUAAACACCUUGUCCAAAGCCAACUGGGAUCUAGGAACAAACCAUCCUGAUCAUACAACCUUGUCCAAAACAACGUGGGUUACAGAAAUAUAUAAUCCAUUACAUGUUACCCUAAUUGUAGGGAGCAGUUCCGGUUGUCAGGUUAAUAUAAGCGUUGCGUCUCUGCGGCAAGGCCAUAUAACUACUCCUUCUUGCAGCGGUUCUAGAGCCUGGAUGGAUUCGAUUCUACAACAAUAGGAAACAAUAUUAACAUACACAACAACAACAAGAAGAUUGUACAUUAAUAGGAGCCGAUUUUAUUUGAGGCAUGAGAGUUGGUAGACACCAACGAGCGUUGUGUCCAAUGACCCCACACUUCCCACAGGUCACCAUGCGCUUGAAUGGCCUGCUCCAAACCUCUGGUGAUCGCUCCCUGGUCCUCCUCUGAUGCCUUGCUCAAGCUUCUUGGUUAGUUUCUCCUCCAACAGCUUCUCCAGCAAGUAUACGCCCUCCAUCUGGUUCACCAUCUUCACCACUAUUUGAAAUGUUCCUUGCAUUAUGACCUCGAUUGCAACAUUUCCCACAGUGGUUCCGAAUCCCUCUUCUCCCCAAUACUGUACCAACACCACUCUUAGCUGGCCUAACUUCAAGUUCCUGUUUCUCCUUACGCCAUACCUUCUUUGGCCUAUCUGGUAAGAUCCUUGAAGUUGAAGGGUGGAUUAUCAUACCUUAAGUAGUUUCCCGAGCUUGUUUUUCAGGUAGAGCUGGUAUUCCACCAAAGCUAUAUGCCUUCUUCGCAUAAGCCACUGUGUAGUGCUAAGUGGUGUAGGUGUAUACAUUCUUAUGCAAAGUUGAGCAAGUUGCUAUUGUGUGCACACAAGGGAUACCAGAUACAUCCCAGUAACCACAAAUACAUGUCUGUUUCCGACGGUAAAAAACAUCUCCAUAGUCAUUGAGUUCACAUUCAGCAACAAGGACUACCACACUAUGCAAUGCCUAGCUACCAGCUUUCCCUUUUCAAGUUUAGCAGCUAUUCUAGGACAGAUGAUUCUUUCCUUUGUUGUUUCAAACAGUUUGACCCUAUCCACUAGACGCUUCAUCAUAUAAGUACGGAUUCCUUCUAGCAUAUUGAUAAUUCUAAGUCUUCUCCACUUCACUAUGCAUCCGUUAAAUGUUUCACGAAUGUUGAACUCUAUGGAAUCACUUUUGGGAACUCUUAACACAAACGCACGAGAAAAUGUCUUUGGAUUCACAUUAACAAAAUCAGCUUUAUUGCAUGCGUACACACAAUUCCAGAAGGCUUUUCUGCUAGCUUGAGAUUUGUGCUUGAUUUUCCAGUUUGCAGACACAUGUUUGGCACAUUUUUUAUGCUCAGUAAGUGAUAAUAAGAUUUACAGACUCUCAACAAGUCCCUGCAUAAAUAAUAAAAUAGCAAUAUCAAGAUGCAUAACAGAAAAGAAACAAUAUUGUUAAUUGAUUAGUCACAAAGGUCACAUACCUCCGGCUGGUCUGAGAUCACAAACCAACCCGUCCCAUCAAACAAACCAAAACCUCAAUUAGAAGUGAGAUGAACCUAGUCCGAGAAAGGGUAUUCUCACUCUCCACAACUGCCCAUGCGACAGGGAACGUGUGAUUGUUCCCAUCCUUGCCUAUGGCAGUCAAGAUCAUUCCCUUUACCUCUCCCUUAAGAAAACAACCAUCAAGCCUAAUCAUCCUUCUAUAACCAAAUAGAAAUUCCUUGCAGAGACAGCUAAAUCCGAUGUACACUCUCUGGUACAUCACAUAAUCCUUACCAGCAACGGGUUCAACCUCUAUAAUAAAGUUUCCCUCCUUACCAGAUUUCAUCAGUCGCAACACAUAUGACUUUAAUAGUGCAUACAAAGCCUGUAAGGCACCUUCUAUCAUUUUCUUUGCUUCUUUCCUGGCAUUGGUGCAAACCCUCACACUCACCUCAAUUCUAUGUGUGGCCUUCACUUCAGCAUAUAACCUUGUGGAAUCCAUAUAACGGUUCAGUUUGAAGUUGGUUAAGUAUUAUUUUGCUACCCACUUCGUUGUAGCAUUCCUGACAUGCAUUGUUUGAGGACAGGAAUGUGGUUCCCCCACUCCUUUAAUUACAAAUCCUUCAUUACGCCCGAACCAACUAGCAUAACAACACCACUUACAACCCUCAACUGAACAGACUGCCUCUUUACUAAACGAAUUGCUUCUUUUCCAUUUGAUACUGGCAUCCACGGAUAUACUGUAAUUGGCAAUUGCUUCUUUGAACUGAUUUUCAUUGGCGAAUCUCAUCUUCUCUUGAAGAACCAACUUGUUGUGGUCACAUCCUGGGUCAUGAUAGACCUCUUCCUCCAGUGGGCAUACUUCUCCGCCUUCAAUUUUAUCAUCGCAAUCGUCAUCCAAUUCCGAAUAUUCCCUGUAAAUUGAUUCUAGAGCAGUAUCUGGAGCCUGGUCGGUCUGGUCUUCUGAUUCAUCAUCAACAUCAGACUCAUCAGUGUUCGCAACGAAGUUGGUACCACCAGCUUCAUCUUCAACCUCAGGCAUCACAUUUUUAAAUGGGUUUGGAUCUGUUUGUGCUUUCUUUGCAGUCUCCUUUGCAGCCUUGGCUGAUUCCCUAGCUAACUUGGUAUGCCACCCAAACUCAACCUCUUCCUCUCCAUCAGAAUCAUAAUUAGCCCGAGGUCUUCUCCUCUCUCCAGUAUGCCAAUAUUCUCCAUUGCAAUAUAGAACUCUGGAUCUGAAGUUCUAUCUGAGUCGUCGAUCAAGUGAAUGAUCCCCUCACAAGCAGGAUCACUUGGUAUGUCAUUGUCACCCAUUCCUUCCAGGUUAGUUGUGCCUUCCAUGUAGAUGUUAAUAACCCCUCUAUUCGAAGCUUCACCCAUAAUUAAGACCUCUGCAUCUCCCACGAUAAGGUUUAUCCCAUCAGCUAUAGUAGAUCCGGGAGUGACGUACCACAUCUUAUCCACAGAUGUGUAACCUAGCUCUCAUGUGCCAAUGGUGACCAAGUCAAUGUAACUGAGUAAGUCCCUGUCGAUAUGAGUGUCAGUAACAGACCCUCCUUCAUAUUAAGCUCCAUCCGACGACAGAACCAUUCGACCUCCAUGGUGAAUCACAAACUCUACAAUGCCUUUCAUCCUCUAUGGCCAUGAAAGUAUCCUUAAAUACUCAAUAUUUUAACUCUACCAACUGGAAUUAAUAAUACUGAAUAUGGAUUCACAUGGGUAAAGUUAAAGCAAUCUAGGACCACAACAACCCAAAAAUGGAAUAGUAUAUUAGUUUUGUCGUCUCGUCCUUUUCGGAAAAGCUACAAGAUUCCUUAACGCUAAACCCAACUACCUUAUCUGCUCCCGAAGACCCCACCACCGUUAAUGGAUCCACCAAACAAGAUUCGUCCUUCAAAAUCACAAACCGUAGCAAUCUUAACACCGGUCGCCGACGAAUAUCGCCGAUUAGCUCUGAACCAGUACCGUCGCCAAUAGUAGAUUUUCAAGCGGGUACCAGAAAGCUCGAUCCAGUUUAUGCCUACCUAUGGUCGUCGAUUACCUAUGUGUGGUCAUCGGUAUUUAAAAUCGGAAACUGGAUAGUCGCAGUCCCAGAGGCGCGAAGUCUGUUGUGUGGAAGACAACCUCUAUCCAACCUUAUUCUAACUUCAGCAGCCUAGAUCUUUUUGAAUGGAUGGACAAGAUUUGGCUUCAUUAUAUCCACGUGGCAAUUCAAUCCGUAAUAUGUGGAAAAUAGGAAAUUACACGUCACUGGUCAACGCUGACUUGGAAGUGUUUUACCAAACUCGAUUAACGCUAUCCAGCGGGAAUUAACGGCGUGGCAUUUAUGGCGAAAAACUCAAUACCUCUUGACAAAAAAUAUAUAUCAAAACCAUGAGGACAUUUCUCGACAUAUGUCCAAAUUUCAUGACAUUUCAAAAUUUUUUGCCUAAUUAAAAUCCACAAGUAGGAAGUGUAGUAGGAAAAAAUAAACUUAUAUUCAACUCUCUCUUAACAAUUUUUUUGGUAUAUUUAACAAAAAGAUUUGGUACAUACCAGUUGUAAAUUGUAAUAUUAAUCAUUGUCAUUAAUAAUUAAAUCAGAGUAGAUACUCUAUAAAUUAGUAGAGUUGGCUAUCAUUGUUGAGUCCAUCAAACCCAUAAGAGUACUGAUAGAUUAGUUCUCUCUAUCUCCAAAUUUUGCAAAAUGAAAGGAUGCAAAGAUCAGAAAGCAAAGCCAAAGCUCCGGAGAGGAUUGUGGUCUCCGGAAGAAGAUGAUCGCCUCCGGAGCUAUAUCGUCAGGAACGGCCACGGCUGCCUGGCCACCGCUCCCAUCAAAGGCGGCAAAAUUAUUUUGGUCCCUCCUUUUAUUUUUAUUUCACACAUCAGGAACGGCCACGGCUGCUGGACCACCGUUCCCAUCAAUGCCGGUAAACUAGUUCGCGUCACUAAUUUAAUUCUAAUUACAACCUUAAUUUCCUACUCUAAUUAAUCUUGGUAAGAAAAGUAGCAAAAGAAUUCAGUUAAUUUGUCGGAUGACGUGGCUGAUUAGCUGUCACGUUCGGAAAUAUCUUGUCUUGUUUUAAUUACUAUUAAUUAAGUAUACAUGCAGGCCUCCAAAGGAAUGGAAAGAGUUGCAGGCUAAGGUGGAUUAAUUAUUUACGGCCAGGAUUAAAGCGCGGUUUGUUUUCCGCUCACGAAGAGGAUACAAUCCUGACCCUUCAUCGCCUCCUCGGCAACAAGUGGUCGCAAAUUGCGAGUCAUUUGUCAGGAAGGACAGACAACGAAAUUAAAAAUUACUGGCACUCGUAUCUCAAAAGAAAGAUUCUCAAACCUCAGCAAUGUGCUAGCUCAUCCUCUCUAGUCGAAUCCUCCUCUGCCCUCUCAUGUGACCGGCCAGAGGAGUCCCUACCGUCGAUUUCCAACGUUUUCGCCUAUCAAUCCUAUAACAACAACUUUACUAUUGGCCUAGACAACGCUUCUUCGCGCCCUUUGUUGCCGCCGAACCUCAUGUUUUCCGAGUGGCUAUCGAUGGACUGCUCAGAAAGCACCACAUCAGCUGCGGAAGUGUUGUUUCCUAAAGAAGGGUUCGCGUGCGGAAGUGACGAGUUCAGCAUUGACAUCGUCCCGAGUAGCGAGUUUGUAGGCGAACAUUUAUUUCAGGGGUAUGAUCGGAACUCAACGACUAUGAGCGAUGG
Molecule: long non-coding RNA, 36300 nt
Filed under: Linum usitatissimum (flax)
Lineage: Eukaryota; Viridiplantae; Streptophyta; Magnoliopsida; Malpighiales; Linaceae
Description: long non-coding RNA (LUSI_LNC008250)
Source: RNAcentral